Molecule: ribosomal RNA, 793 nt
Filed under: uncultured archaeon
Lineage: Archaea
Description: bacterial SSU rRNA
Rfam family: Archaeal small subunit ribosomal RNA
Source: RNAcentral
ACUGCUCAGUAACACGUGGACAACCUGCCCUUAGGUUGGGUAUAAACCCGGGAAACUGGGUAUAAUACCCGAUAGGUCUCGAUUGCUGGAAUGCAUCGAGAUUUAAAGCUCCGGCGCCUAAGGAUGGGUCUGCGGCCUAUCAGGUAGUAGUGGGUGUAGCGUACCUACUAGCCUACGACGGGUACGGGUUGUGAGAGCAAGAGCCCGGAGAUGGAUUCUGAGACACGAAUCCAGGCCCUACGGGGUGCAGCAGGCGCGAAAACUUUACAAUGCUGGCAACAGCGAUAAGGGAACCUCGAGUGCCAGGUUACAAAUCUGGCUGUCGAGAUGCCUAAAAAGCAUUUCAUAGCAAGGGCCGGGCAAGACCGGUGCCAGCCGCCGCGGUAACACCGGCGGCUCGAGUGGUAACCGUUAUUAUUGGGUCUAAAGGGCCUGUAGCCGGCCGGAUAAGUCUCUUGAGAAAUCUGGCAGCUUAACUGUCAGGCUUUCAGGAGAUACUGUCUGGCUCGAGGCCGGGAGAGGUGAGAGGUACUUCAGGGGUAGGGGUGAAAUCUUGUAAUCCUUGAAGGACCACCAGUGGCGAAGGCGUCUCACCAGAACGGACCUGACGGCAAGGGACGAAGGCUAGGGGCACGAACCGGAUUAGAUACCCGGGUAGUCCUAGCCGUAAACGAUACUCGCUAGGUGUCGGCCACGGUGCGACCGUUGUCGGUGCCGUAGGGAAGCCGUGAAGCGAGCCACCUGGGAAGUACGGCCGCAAGGCUGAAACUUAAAGGAAUUGGCGGGGGAGCAC